CGCCUACCCCAAUCCGCCCACAACCGCGAGGCCCCGCCCCGCCGUAAUUCCCUCCUACGCUCGCGCCGCGGCCGCGGUCACCAUAACCCUCUCCCCUCUCCACGUCCACCGCUGCCCCCACCCAACAGCCACCGUCCAGCCCCCUCCUUGCCCUCCAUCUGUGACCGCCCAAUCUCUAAGGAAUGGAUCGCGACAGGCCACCGCUCGCCAUGGGGUGCUCGUGGCUGUGAACGAAUGCCAACUUGCAGAACCAGGGCUCUUCGAUUCGGUCCUUGGCGCCGGAUCCAAUUCUUGUCAGGUGAUACAGUCCUCCUCCUUCAUUUCCCCCUCGGUUUUGUUGCUGGAUGAACCCUAAAUUCAUUGGAUCCAAGUAUAUCAAGGCGUAUUUGUGAUGUAUGGAGUAGAUCUGCUUUCAAGAUUUAGUUCUGAUGGCCUCUACUGCUAUUUCUAUGUCGAACUGAAGCCGGUGCUAGCUGCCGGCCGGCGGCGCGCGCGGCGUCAGGAGGGCAGCUCCAGCUGCCACGCGCUCAAUAUAUUGAUUCAGCUUUUCCUUGUUCUGCUCAACAAUGGCUAGAUCGUCAAUAAUUGGUUUAGUUGGCAUGUAGUAAAUAGGUGGUUCAGCUUUUGUCCUGCCAACAUAAGGGGGUAAUGAGAUAGAGUCAAACAUGGAACAGAUAUUGUUCAUCAGUAUACAAUGUAAAUAGAUAUACUAAUGGUUAUCAAACAUCAAGUCUGCAUAAUUAGAAUGUAUCUUCCCUCAAUUUAAUUGUCAAUAUGGACACUUUUGGACCAGAAAUAAAAAUAACCUGCAGAACACAGAAAAUAACAGAUCAUUCAAACAAGAUAGUAGAAUUACUGCACAAACAUGGGAAACAGCUUAUGUAAAGAAAACGGGGGUUCCAAUUUUUGGGUCUAACUCAAAAUGAAGAAUGAUGCAAAGCAGCAAACCUACCUUAAGAAAUUGGACAACCUUUUAUGGUGCUCAGUCCACUGAAUGUACAACAGCUCCAACCUGUUUUCUUCCGCCUUAGUAGCUACAUGAGCGCGAAGCGUCUAAAAAAGAGCAUCAAGGAUUGUAUAAUUCCAAAGUAAAUAUCAAUUGAAAUGUGUGGUACAAAAUUGACGGAGAGAGAUUCACUACACGCGCUCAAUAUAUUUACUACACGCCUUAACGACGACGAAGAGAGAUUCAGAGAUGGGGGUAGAAAAUUGACGCACAGCUCACAGGCGAGGCGUGAUGGAUUGAGCGGAAAGGUGGAGUAGGAGCAGGCGCUGUGUAGUGUGCGUGUGUGGCUCAUUGCACCAUCGUCAUUGCCUCCAUGCUCAUUUUCAUUUUUAGCAUAUAGAUCCUCCAUCACUCUAUAAUUGAUAAUUGAAGUAUACUCCAAUUCCAAUCACUCUAUUUUUUUAUUGUUUAAUAAAUCAUCAUUCAAUAUGAGCAAGGAGGCUAAGCGACAUACUAGCCCAAAUAAUGUGUGCUUUAAUUAUUCAUCCAACAACACACCACUAGCACUUCCAGUCCUUUCAUACAAGAUGUUGUUUAUUUUGUAGGUGGUCCUUUUGUGCUUUCCCUUGCACACAAACACAAAGUGAACUUUCUUCUGUGAUCAGGUAACAUAUCCGUCUUUUACUUCAGCUGGUAUGUUCACAAUCAACUUUUCAGAAUAGUUUGUAAAAAUAUAUUCACAUGUCCAUUUUUCAUUGGAUGUUGGUCUCUCCCAGAUAGCCCAAAUAGGUCCAUACCGAUUGUCUCUCCUUGAUAUCUGUAUUUUAUAAUUUUAUUUGUUUUAUGGAUCAAUGUUCUUGUCAUCAUAGAGUGUGGUCUAAUAUUGCAUUACAGUGACUUUUCUGUUUGAAGUCAUCUAAGAAUCAAGGAGUCACUCCAAAGAAUAAAUCCUUAAGGUUUUUUGGUUAGCCUUCAAAGGUUGCUGUUUAAAUCUAUAAACAGGAAAUAUAAAUGAAUCUAAAAAGUCAUUUUUAAAAGACUGCUAUUUCAAUCUAUAAACAGGAAACAUAAUGCAAUUUUAUGUUUUAGUUUUAGAUAAUUUAGUUGGAGCCUUACAUUAAGAACCUAUUUGGAAUUAGGGUUUUCAAGAUAGUUAAAAAUCAGUAUAAAAUAGAUACAGAGAGUACUUAUAAAACAAUUGACUAUAAAGAGUACUUAUCCAAUGUUGGUGGUGGCUCCCAUCUGAUUAGGAUCUAAACAAGGAGUAAAUGAGACAAACAUUACCACUAUAUUUUGCAGAGAGGCUCUAUCUGCUAAAAAUGAAAAUGUCAUGGGUGAAACCAGUCCCAAAACCAGAUUAAGACACUUGCCCAACUCUGCAGAUACCAUAAUUAUUUGGCCUCUGAAAUCUAAGUUCAAAUAGCAACAAUUGUAUUAAUGGCUUCAAACAUUCAGAAUCAAAUAUACGUCGAACUGUAACUUUUUGCCAUUCUAUUAUACAAAUUGGCGGACUUAUAUUGCUCUUCCUCCUUCCUAGCCUGAGAGAAGGCAGACUGUCUCUCUCUGGACACAACCAGCAAACUAUUCAACCUCCAAUCCGGCCGCUUCGGUCGAAAUCAUGAGUCUUCCCUUGGCUUGGAAUGAAUCCUGUAUGUGGGGGGAAUAAGAGAAUUCCUAGGGAUCCUCGUAGUAGUGAGAUUGCAUUGUUCGAAGACGCAUGUUCCUCUAUUUCUUCUAAUCUAAAGAGGUCAUUCUUUAGUGUGGCGUGGGUUCUCCCAAUGUUGCCAAAGUCUUUCUACGAUAGGAUGUAUGAACUUGUAGUUUGUCUAUUAUUAAUUGUCUUGUGCCUAAGUACUGGGAAUGGUAUCUACUAUGAAUGGUUUUUGUGCUCAGACUUCUCAUGAACCGACUCCUAUUUUUCACUCAAAAUAACCACCAUUAAGGAAACAGACACAUCAACUGAUUGCUACUAUUUUUAGGCUGCUAUUUUAAAGCUGCCAUUUGCAUUCAAUUUUGGUCAACAUUAUGAACUGACAGCAAAAAACUGCUAUUGCCAGGUUCCUAUUUUGAAGCAAUUUUAGCCACCAUUGUAAACUGCCUGCUGCUUGGUUUUGCUACUUGCAAAUAGCAUUCUUAUGAACUGGCUGUUUCCACCCGUUCACUUAAUAUGUGCAUUAUUUCUAGCUUUUAAUGUUGAUAGGAUAUGAUAGGUGACACAUUGAUGUUGUGCGGUGACAGAUUAGAGACGUGAAAGAAAUAGAAUGAGCAGGGUACUUAGGUACUUGCCUACCUGUUCCAUUGCGCGUAGAAUGAGAAAUAGUUCCUAUAGUGUUAGCGUCCACAUAACCACCAUUCUGAAGGAAACAGACACAUCAACUGAUUGCUGCUAUUUUUAGGCUGCCAUUUGCAUUCAAUUUUAGUCAACAUUAUGAACUGGCAGCAAAACAAAGCUGCUAUUGUCAGGUUGCUAUUUUGAAGCAAUUUUAGCCACCAUUGUAAACUGCCUGCUGCUUGGUUUUGCUACUUGCAAAUAGCAUUCUUAUGAACCGGCUAUUUCCACCCGUUCACUCAAUAUGUGCAUUACUUCUAGCUUUUAAUGUUGAUAGGAUAUGAUAGGUGACACAUUGAUGUUGUGCGGUGACAGAUUAGAGACGUGAAAGAAAUAGCAUGAGCAAGGUACUUAGGUACUUGCCUACCUGUUCCAUUGCGCGUAGAAUGAGAAAUAAUUCCUAUAUUGUUAGCGUCCACACAACGAAAUGCCCCCGCCUUCCCCCAGCUCGCACAGCCGUGCUUCGCCACUACGGUCGCUGAUGGCGCCCAUCCUCCAAGCCCAACGAUGGCGCGGAUCUCGCCUCCAAACGCGGAUCUCGGCCACGACACAGACGCAAAUCCCAGUAGGCUAGCCUCCGCACGGCCAUUGUAAUUGAAUUGUUGUCUGAUAGCAUGAACCAAUUGUCCAUUAAGAAUGAGAAUCAGUUGGUAAGUUUCUUGAUAUUUUGUCUGUGUCUGAUGUGAAGACCUUUUUCCUUGCUCGUUUCCUUAUCUGUAUUCCAUUAGCUGCAGGAUUUUCUUUUAGAUGAAAACCACAGCCUGCUAGAGAUUGAUAGUGAUAGUGUUGGAUCACGAUUGCAGGUAAAGUUCACUUUAUAACUUCAAGUAAGUUUGCACAGAAUUUGGACCCUAUAUAUUUUUUAGUCAAGUCUAGCAAUUUUACCCAUGCGAUGCAUUCUCUUGCUUCCACUGGAUUGCCCAUUGUGUUAAAUUGUUUAUUGCAGUAUGUGUGAUAUAGAGAUGUCCCAUCAGUUAGGGUCCUAAGAAACACAUUAGAAGUCUUGAGAAUUGAUGCUCAUAUACUUCUUGCUUGCAAAUUAUCUGAUCAGAAGCAUUCCUUUCUUAUAGGAUAAAAGAAGUAGGCGCAAUGAGGAGUCAUGUUCAUUCACAAGCUCUAACAGAGAAAGUUGGGGCAGAUGUUCAUAUUUAGGUGCAGCCAGUGAUGAAUCAUUCUCAGGCGAUAAUAAUGAUAAGCAGGUGACACAUUGCUUCAAUUGUCUGACAAUUUAGUUAUCCAGUGUCUUAUACGAAUACCUUAGUUAUCCAGUGUCUGCAUUGAUCGUAUCUGUUAUGGUGUCUGUUAGGUGGAUUGGCUAUGAGGUAUGCUUAUUUAUGUUAAACCUAUAUUCUAACUCCAGAAUUAUCAAGGGAGUAUUGUUGCAUUUCACAAGAUUAAACGGGUUCCUCUUCAGUGUUUGUAGCUGGAGAUCAGGAGAAUAACUUUAAACUACACCUUUCUACUUUCAAGAAUCUACUCCUGGCUGGUUGCUGUACAUUGGCCGCCGAACUGCCCAGCUGUCCCAGGGAGAGGUUGCACGCCUCCCAUUCACCAUUUGUCAUUUCGUUGCCUGCCGCUGGCUGAGCCUUCCAAGGAGGUGGCGGAAGGUUUCCACUUUGAUCAUCUACAGAGUAUGGAUACUAGCGUCACUUAUUUUUCUUCUUCUUCGGAUAGAAAAAGAAAGAUUCAUAUGAAUACAGAGAGUUCUGGUUGAAAGACAGAAGUGAUACAGAAAAGUGCACACACUAAUAAAGUAAUAAUUAAGUAGUAUUCCAGAAAGAUAUAACAGCAGAUCAGAUAUGACAAUUCUUGCCAUAUCGUAAUUCAGUGCUUGCUCUGCUGGAAGGUUGGCAGCUUGAUCAUUCCACCCUGAAUUAACAUUAUUAAACUGGGAUGCCUGAUCAUAGGACGUUCCAGCACCCCCGUUCGGAUACAGCGUCGCCUGUUGCGACUAGAAAGGCUGCUGAGUUGGAGUGUUGUAUGCCUGAGAUCCUGGAAUAGCAGAACUUAGAUUGAGACCAAAGGGGUCAGCUGCUUGAGUUUUGCUGUUAACGGUGCUGUUCUGUGAAAAUAUUCGUUUGACAUCAGUUCAUUCCAUUUAAGUCGGUGUAUCUAUAAUAAUAUUACAUAUUUAUAUCAUCA
This 5417-nucleotide long non-coding RNA is filed under the name Zea mays. RNAcentral's name for it is "long non-coding RNA (ZMAY_LNC002978)". Lineage: Eukaryota; Viridiplantae; Streptophyta; Magnoliopsida; Poales; Poaceae. The record is from RNAcentral.